GCCGGAGUGGCGGAAUUGGCAGACGCGCGGGAUUCAAAAUCCCGUCCUGGCGACAGGGUGUGGGUUCAAGUCCCUCCUCCGGCA
RNAcentral lists this transfer RNA (84 nucleotides) under Candidatus Omnitrophota bacterium. RNAcentral describes it as "tRNA-Leu". It matches the Rfam family "tRNA". From Rfam's summary of the family: Transfer RNA (tRNA) molecules are approximately 80 nucleotides in length. The record is from RNAcentral. Lineage: Bacteria; Pseudomonadati; Candidatus Omnitrophota.